Molecule: ribosomal RNA, 497 nt
Filed under: uncultured bacterium
Lineage: Bacteria
Description: partial 16S ribosomal RNA
Rfam family: Bacterial small subunit ribosomal RNA
Source: RNAcentral
GAUGAACGCUGGCGGCGUGCCUAAUACAUGCAAGUCGAGCGAACAGACGAGGAGCUUGCUCCUCUGACGUUAGCGGCGGACGGGUGAGUAACACGUGGAUAACCUACCUAUAAGACUGGGAUAACUUCGGGAAACCGGAGCUAAUACCGGAUAAUAUUUUGAACCGCAUGGUUCAAUAGUGAAAGACGGUCUUGCUGUCACUUAUAGAUGGAUCCGCGCUGCAUUAGCUAGUUGGUAAGGUAACGGCUUACCAAGGCAACGAUGCAUAGCCGACCUGAGAGGGUGAUCGGCCACACUGGAACUGAGACACGGUCCAGACUCCUACGGGAGGCAGCAGUAGGGAAUCUUCCGCAAUGGGCGAAAGCCUGACGGAGCAACGCCGCGUGAGUGAUGAAGGUCUUCGGAUCGUAAAACUCUGUUAUUAGGGAAGAACAAAUGUGUAAGUAACUAUGCACGUCUUGACGGUACCUAAUCAGAAAGCCACGGCUAACUACGUG